GUGAGGAGCACCUACCUUAGAGCCAUUGCAUCCUGGCAAACCGGCAAGUCCAUAAGGUCCAGGACGGCCUGGGGUGCCCUGAAAAGGAGACAUCGUUGCCUACCCCAGAACCAGGGAGGAAAGGAAAAGAAAAAGAGAAAAAGAAGAGGGAAGUGUGCACAGAGGAAAUACAAUUUGACUUGAUGUCCUACAAAUCCACACUCUAAAACACUCUGUGGCUCUAUCAUGCCGUUUUCAUCAGGUAGUGAAUGUGUCAGUAGCCAUUUCUUUGUGCUAUUGCUUUACAGCUUUAUUAAAAUGGGCUUACUUUUAUCUUACUACACUGGUGGACAGUGACUGCACUGGGGUAUGGGUGGGGACUUGAUAAUAAGGGUGAAUGUAGUAACCACAUUG
This is a long non-coding RNA of Manis pentadactyla (Chinese pangolin), 393 nucleotides long. RefSeq lists it as uncharacterized. NCBI's taxonomy places the organism in Eukaryota, Metazoa, Chordata, Mammalia, Pholidota, Manidae. The record is from RefSeq and is a predicted model, not a curated record. The transcript has 3 exons.